UCCUGAGUAGCCAGGAUUACAAACAUGAGCCAUGGGUGCUCAGCUAGAACAGGAAACUCAAGGCCAGAGUAGGCUCCAUAGGCCGUUCUAGGCCAGCCUGGCUAUGCGGUGAGACCUCAUCUCUGAAGAACAAAACAGGAGCUGGCGGGGUCAGGG
Long non-coding RNA from Perognathus longimembris pacificus (Pacific pocket mouse), 156 nucleotides. RefSeq lists it as uncharacterized. Lineage: Eukaryota; Metazoa; Chordata; Mammalia; Rodentia; Heteromyidae. The record is from RefSeq and is a predicted model, not a curated record. The transcript has 3 exons.